RNAcentral lists this ribosomal RNA (855 nucleotides) under Tylos punctatus. Its description in RNAcentral is "partial 18S small subunit ribosomal RNA". It matches the Rfam family "Eukaryotic small subunit ribosomal RNA", at positions 460 to 873 of the family's 1831-position model. Lineage: Eukaryota; Metazoa; Arthropoda; Malacostraca; Isopoda; Tylidae. The record is from RNAcentral.
GGAGGUAGUGACGUGAAAUAACGAUGCGGGACUCUUCCGAGGCCUCGCAAUCGGAAUGAGUUAACUUUAAAUCCUUUCGACGAGGAUCGAUUGGAGGGCAAGUCUGGUGCCAGCAGCCGCGGUAAUUCCAGCUCCAAUAGCGUAUAUUAAAGUUGCUGCGGUUAAAAAGCUCGUAGUUGGAUCUCACGAUUCGAAAGACGGAGAGCGCCGUUGACGCAGUCGUGGUAGUAGUAGUACUACUACACCACGAAUCCACCUUCUCAUUCGUUUCGUUACGGUAGAAGGAGUAAUAAUAGUACGGGGAUGUCGAAUGCGCGAACAGGAUUUAUGAAAACGGUACGAGUUGAUUUUCUGACGGUGGUGGCGGAGGCGGUCGUCGUUGCUGCGGCUGUUGUUGCGGUGGUACGCUAGUGGCGAACGACCGUCGCCGCUACCGCUUCUACUACUUCGUUAAUCGUUGAUGUCCUCUUCGUUGCUUUGGCUAAUACCACUAUUCCUCUUCCUUCUUUCCAACGGACGAAAAAGAGAAGGCGAACGCCAAAGUGUCCCGGCGUAACUAAACAACCGUCCUUUUCGAUGAAAAAUAUUGUUCGGCCGGCCAGCGGCGUAGUAGUAGCCUCACCGGAAAGGGUGGUAGAAGGUGGUAUCAUUAUGGCAAUAAUAAUACAUCUUCCACCUUCGAUGGCGGUGGUGACUCUCGCGCGCUCGCGUUCGGUCGGCAACUUCACUUUGACAAAAUUAGAGUGCUCAGAGCGGGCAAGAUCUGAAGCCCGAAUGGAGGUGCAUAGAAUGAUCUAAGAUGACCUCGCGAUCUAAACGUUUGUCGGUUUAUGGGGUCGCGAGGUAAUGAUUAAA